This 1360-nucleotide ribosomal RNA is filed under the name metagenome. RNAcentral describes it as "bacterial LSU rRNA". It matches the Rfam family "Bacterial large subunit ribosomal RNA", at positions 1550 to 2925 of the family's 2925-position model. The record is from RNAcentral.
UUAAUGCUGAGGCGUGAUGGGGAAGGCCCUUGAGGCUGAAGUACAUGAUUCCAUGCUUCCAAGAAAAGCAUCUAGAGAGAGAAGUAGUGCCCGUACCGCAAACUGACACAGGUAGAUGAGGAGAGAAUCCUAAGGCCGGCGGAAGAAUUGCAGUUAAGGAACUAGGCAAAUUGACCCCGUAAGUUAGCGAGAAGGGGUGCCUGCGAGAGCAGGCCGCAGAGAGUAGGCCCAAGCAACUGUUUAGCAAAACACAGGUCUCUGCUAAAGCGCAAGCUGAUGUAUAGGGGCUGACGCCUGCCCGGUGCUGGAAGGUUAAGGGGAACACUUAGCGCAAGCGAAGGUGUGAACUUAAGCCCCAGUAAACGGCGGCCGUAACAAUAACGGUCCUAAGGUAGCGAAAUUCCUUGUCAGGUAAGUUCUGACCCGCACGAAUGGCGUAAUGACUUGGGCACUGUCUCAACUGCAAAUCCGGCGAAGUUGUAGUGCGAGUGAAGAUGCUCGCUACCCGCGAUUGGACGGAAAGACCCCGUAGAGCUUUACUGUAGCUUAGCAUUGAAUUCCGGUAUUGUCUGUACAGGAUAGGUGGGAGACUGGGAAACUAGGGCGUCAGCCUUGGUGGAGUCGUCCUUGGGAUACCACCCUGACAGUGCUGGGGUUCUAACAGGACGCCAUGAAUCUGGUGACUGGACAUUGUUAGGUGGGCAGUUUGACUGGGGCGGUCGCCUCCUAAAAAGUAACGGAGGCGCCCAAAGGUUCCCUCAGAACGGUCGGAAAUCGUUCGUAGAGUGCAAAGGCAGAAGGGAGCCUGACUGCGAGACCUACAAGUCGAGCAGGGACGAAAGUCGGGCUUAGUGAUCCGGUGGUACCUCGUGGGAGGGCCAUCGCUCAACGGAUAAAAGCUACCUCGGGGAUAACAGGCUGAUCUCCCCCAAGAGUCCACAUCGACGGGGAGGUUUGGCACCUCGAUGUCGGCUCGUCGCAUCCUGGGGCUGUAGUAGGUCCCAAGGGUUGGGCUGUUCGCCCAUUAAAGCGGCACGCGAGCUGGGUUCAGAACGUCGUGAGACAGUUCGGUCCCUAUCCGUCGCGGGCGUAGGAAAUUUGAGAGGAGCUGUCCUAAGUACGAGAGGACCGGGAUGGACUGACCUCUGGUGCACCAGUUGUUCUGCCAAGAGCAUGGCUGGGUAGCUAAGUCGGGAAGGGAUAAACGCUGAAAGCAUCUAAGCGUGAAGCCUCCCUCAAGAUGAGAUUUCCCAUAGCAUAAGCUAGUAAGACCCCUUGAAGAACACGAGGUUGAUAGGUCAGAGGUGUAAGUGUGGUAACAUAUUUAGCUGACUGAUACUAAUAGGUCGAGGGCUUGAUC